Molecule: ribosomal RNA, 403 nt
Filed under: uncultured bacterium
Lineage: Bacteria
Description: bacterial SSU rRNA
Rfam family: Bacterial small subunit ribosomal RNA
Source: RNAcentral
UAGGGAAUAUUGCACAAUGAGCGAAAGCUUGAUGCAGCAACGCCGCGUGCGCGAUGACGGCCUUCGGGUUGUAAAGCGCUUUUCGGGGAGAUGAGGAAGGACAGUAUCCCCGGAAUAAGUCUCGGCUAACUACGUGCCAGCAGCCGCGGUAACACGUAGGAGGCAAGCGUUAUCCGAAUUUACUGGGCGUAAAGCGCGUGCAGGCGGUUCGGUAAGUUGGAUGUGAAAUCUCCCGGCUCAACUGGGAGGGGACGUUCAAUACUGUCGACUUGAGGACGAUAGAGGGAGGUGGAAUUCCCGGUGUAGUGGUGAAAUGCGUAGAUAUCGGGAGGAACACCAGUGGCGAAAGCGGCCUCCUGGAUCGUUCCUGACGCUCAGACGCGAAAGCUAGGGGAGCGAACAG